CUUUCUAGCAGCUCAGCGGAAAGGCAGCUACCAACCAAGCUCGGAGAGAUUUGAUGCUUGACGCCAAGAAUCACAAUUUAAUUCGGAGCGGAAGCAGCGUUCCCGGAUUCCUUCAGCCCUCAGAAGACAGAGGUCGGCUUCCCUCUGCGAGGAAAGGACCUAAUUCGUUUCUUUAGACAUUGCUGGGGGCGGGUUGGUGCCUGAGUGGAGAGAAAACGGAGCCGCUCCGAGAAGAGGCGCAGAGACACCGAAUCUUCAUUGAGAGGAUGCUUAAAACCCUGGUCUCCAUGACUGCGCUGCUCCUUGUCUCCAGCGGAGCGGUGGACAGGAAGGUUUCUCAGUCUGCUGCGCUGUCCUUCCUGGCGGGGGGCAGGGCUGACCUCCCCUGUAACCACAGUGUCGCUGGCUACGAGAGAAUUUUUUGGUACUAUCAGCGCCCCGGAGCUGCCCCUCGAGCUGUGAUCUCUGGCUACAAGUCCGCGGAGACAUCGGAGCGGUUUGAACUGUCGAUUGACCCCCCCGGCCGGUCCGCCCCGCUGCGCAUCACCGAGGUGGCGGUGGAGGACUCGGGGGUGUAUUACUGCGCCGUGAGAGGCACAGAGAGAGGAAAUGCAGGGCGAGCUGAACAAAAACCUCCCCGAGUCUGAGAGUCCUGGGCAGGAAGAGAAGGAAGCUCACACGGAUAAUCAAAUUGCGGGCUGAGAUCCUCAAAGGGGCCAGGAGAAUGGACGCAUGGAACUCCAGUGAGCAAUAAGCGCCCAACUCCCUUAGGCUCCUUUGAAAAUCUCAGCUUUGAACAAUAGCAUGUAGAAGUUCAUGACUGUAUCCAAAGUGACCCAGAUAAUUGCAAGCCUAAUUUCUAUGGUCUUCCAAUUAAAAAAAGUCUCCGAAGGGUCAAAUUUUCAAAGGUAUUUAGGGACCUAAAGAUCCAGAGAGGCACCUGGAGAGGCUUUAGGCUCCCAAAUGCUGUUUUGACCAGAGCAUCUAGUCAAAGUCUGGGGCCCUGUGGACCUACCUGUUGUGAUAACAGGGUUAUCAGGGACCAUCUACUCUAACCCGCUGCCUACGUGCAGGAUUUGCAUGGUUGGUAACCGAUAUUUAUUUGCUGCGUUUUUAGUGAUUGACCAGGAACGUACAAAUUUCUGCAGCUUUCAAAGCAGAGGGAAUAAAACAGAAGGAAACAGCUUCUCUUGCUAACAGCGCGCUUCCGCCAGCGCUGGCUUUUCCCUGGAAACCGCUGUGCACACAGGCUGCUGCUUGACUUUCGCUCUCCUCUCUGUUCAUGUCUGUUUCCCGUUUCUCAGAGUUCCCUCCCCCCUCCCCCGGCAUCAUUUCAGAGAAAUUCAGGGUGGGGAGGGCUGUGUCAUCAAACAGAACAUUCGGUGUGAUUAUAGUAUAUCCUGCCACGACUGGGGAGGGGGAGAAAUGGAGCACCUAGACCUAGGGAAACUUUUGGAGGAGGCAAGCCAAGGUUCUGGGGAAAAUUGGUCCCUCUUCUCCGAUCGCAAAUGAGCCGCACUGAACUCCCCUCUGUUUACAAUACCCAGUGGAACUCACCCCACCCCCACCUUGGGCAGAUGCUAUUCGGUUUUGUUUUAGGUGUGCGGUCUCUUAAGCCUUUCUUAAAACGAUCUUACCUGAAGGGCACGUUCACAUAUCAGUUUGCACGAGGGUUUAACUCAACCCCCCUAACAAGGUUUUUCCCAGUUUAUAAGGACGCCGUUCCAUCUUUGGAACAUGGGACUUAGACUUUAAGUCAUGAAGGCACUGUUGAAAAUGUUACCCCCAAGCCCCAAAGGUGUAGCUGCACCUGCAGCGAUGUAAUUCCAGAGCAGCUCUGUUGCU
Molecule: non-coding RNA, 1845 nt
Organism: Caretta caretta (loggerhead turtle)
Lineage: Eukaryota; Metazoa; Chordata; Testudines; Cheloniidae
Source: the annotation of a RefSeq genome assembly